RNAcentral lists this ribosomal RNA (461 nucleotides) under Coniochaeta sp. GL6-9-3. Its description in RNAcentral is "eukaryotic LSU rRNA". The stretch from base 145 to 298 matches the Rfam family "5.8S ribosomal RNA". The record is from RNAcentral. Lineage: Eukaryota; Fungi; Ascomycota; Sordariomycetes; Coniochaetales; Coniochaetaceae.
CGCGAACUUAUCCAAGUUGCUUCGGCGGCGCGGCUCCCCUCACAGGGCGCCGCAGCCCCGCCUCUCAGGAGGUAUGGGGCGCCCGCCGGAGGUACGAAACUCUGUAUUAUAGUGGUAUCUCUGAGUAAAAAACAAAUAAGUUAAAACUUUCAACAACGGAUCUCUUGGUUCUGGCAUCGAUGAAGAACGCAGCGAAAUGCGAUAAGUAAUGUGAAUUGCAGAAUUCAGUGAAUCAUCGAAUCUUUGAACGCACAUUGCGCCCGCUAGUACUCUAGCGGGCAUGCCUGUUCGAGCGUCAUUUCAACCCUCAAGCUCUGCUUGGUGUUGGGGCCCUACGGCUGCCGUAGGCCCUGAAAGGAAGUGGCGGGCUCGCUACAACUCCGAGCGUAGUAAUUCAUUAUCUCGCUAGGGAGGUGCAGCGUGCUCCUGCCGUUAAAGACCCCAUCUUUAACCAAGGUUGA